CUCGCCAGCCACGACGCCAGCGCGGCCGGCCAGGAGAAGCUCUGUGAUCCGUGCUCCAUGGUCACCCUCCACCACCUCCCAAGAAUGAUGUUUGGCUGAACUGGGCAAGAACUGAAGCGAAGCUUAAUUAGCUUGGCUGACUGUUGUGGUUUGGUUGGUCACACUUGUUUAUUACCCACCCCUUUUAUAGUGAGAUGUGCCGUGGAGACGUGUGCUGGGGACGAGUUGCUUGGGGAUGAAGUCGCGGCGUGCGAGAUUUUCGAUUGGUCCGUGGACGACUCUCCGUCUCCCUCCGGUCGAGGUGGGGCAGUAAAGGUGAUGUGUGCACAAGGAACGUUCGGGCGUGUGUGCAGUGUCGACAGGUUCCUGGCUUGGGGAUGCUGAGGCUGAGCUGCCUGAAUGGAGGAAUUCAACUGCGUGUCCUGCGACUUCGAGUGCUCAAGGCUGGAAAAAAUGGCAGGUGUUGCUUGCUUGCUUGCUUCCUUCCAAGUGCCAGGUCUCCAAACCCUACGCAUGCUGAUUGAUCCCUCCGAGUUGCGACAUGUACUCCAUGAUGAUUGUUCAACAAGAAAAAUGCAACGUCUCUGUCGGUGUUACGACUGAGCGUCCUGAACGCACCUCUUUUCUAGCACGGGCAUCUCUGUCGAAGUUUUUUUUUUUUUUUGAAAAAGAAGGUUAGAGCCUCCUGCCUCUGCAUCAAUGAUGUAUAUGACCAUCUUCAUUAAUUAAUUAUUUGACACA
Molecule: long non-coding RNA, 741 nt
Filed under: Hordeum vulgare
Lineage: Eukaryota; Viridiplantae; Streptophyta; Magnoliopsida; Poales; Poaceae
Description: long non-coding RNA (HVUL_LNC016655)
Source: RNAcentral